Molecule: ribosomal RNA, 484 nt
Filed under: uncultured bacterium
Lineage: Bacteria
Description: partial 16S ribosomal RNA
Rfam family: Bacterial small subunit ribosomal RNA
Source: RNAcentral
AUUGAACGCUGGCGGCAGGCCUAACACAUGCAAGUCGAGCGGAUGAAGGGAGCUUGCUCCUGGAUUCAGCGGCGGACGGGUGAGUAAUGCCUAGGAAUCUGCCUGGUAGUGGGGGAUAACGUCCGGAAACGGGCGCUAAUACCGCAUACGUCCUGAGGGAGAAAGUGGGGGAUCUUCGGACCUCACGCUAUCAGAUGAGCCUAGGUCGGAUUAGCUAGUUGGUGGGGUAAAGGCCUACCAAGGCGACGAUCCGUAACUGGUCUGAGAGGAUGAUCAGUCACACUGGAACUGAGACACGGUCCAGACUCCUACGGGAGGCAGCAGUGGGGAAUAUUGGACAAAGGGCGAAAGCCUGAUCCAGCCAUGCCGCGUGUGUGAAAAAGGUCUUCGGAUUGUAAAGCACUUUAAGUUGGGAGGAAGGGCAGUAAGUUAAUACCUUGCUGUUUUGACGUUACCAACAGAAUAAGCACCGGCUAACUUCGUG